AGUGGGAUAGCUGGAUCAAAUGGUGGUUCCAUUCCAAGAUUUUUAAGGAAUCUCCAUACUGCUUUCCAGAUAGAUUGGGUGCACCAAUUUGCAGUCCCACCAGCAAU
Molecule: microRNA precursor, 107 nt
Filed under: Marmota monax (woodchuck)
Lineage: Eukaryota; Metazoa; Chordata; Mammalia; Rodentia; Sciuridae
Source: RNAcentral